Molecule: RNA transcript, 1583 nt
Organism: Lutzomyia longipalpis
Lineage: Eukaryota; Metazoa; Arthropoda; Insecta; Diptera; Psychodidae
Exons: 4
Source: RefSeq, a predicted model, not a curated record
UAAAAUAAUUAAUUUAGAUACAGAAUUAGUGAUAAAUGUAAAGAAAACUUUAGUUUAGAUGCUAGAUUAUGUUCAGAACAUGGGAGAUUCUAAAAAUCCGGCCAAUAAAUCUUCCAAAUUUGCAAUUUAGUAUUUGCCUUCUUUGGGGUCACUGUUUUUCAGAGUCUCUAACAAUUUCAUACAACUCUCAUUUUUAGGUAAAUUUUAUUGAAUUUUUCUUGGCAGGAUCUUGAUCCUUGCCGCGUGUGAAGGUUUUAGAUUUAUGGUGGAAACCUCGUGCUGCGGAAUCAUCGACCAGCACUGAGUGUUCUGGGCAGGAGGGACUACCCAUGUGGUGAGGAAGUUGGUCUGGUGAUCAUUGGUUCCGGUUCCGCAGGCUGGCUGCUAUUAAAGCUGCCCAGUUGGGGAUGAAGACCGUUUGCAUUGAGAAGAACGACACAUGUGGUGGCACCUGCCUCAAUGUGUGAUAUAUCCCAUCGAAACCUCUCCUCAAUAAUACCCAUGGACAUUGCGCAGCUCUUCAAGAAGAAGUGCAUCUCAUUAAGGGCUACGGGAGUAUCACGUCAGCCAAGGAAGUCACCGCAAGGACGGAAUCUGGCUAAGACAUGACUGCAACGGGAGCAGAAGUCAUCCAAUUUCUCCGAUGGAUGGGUCGAAAGGUCAUAAAACGAAGGCUUGAAAAAUGCAUCUACAAGGGGUGUCCAUAUCAACGUACACGCGACAGUGACUUUUAUAAAUCCACGUGGGAAGCUAGCUGCCCCUCAGAGGGAUACCAUCGGAGGCACCAUAGGCACUCGCAAUUCUUCAGUAUUAAAAAAAUGACGUUCUUCAAGCUUCCGUCGUCGAAGAUCUUCGUGUUACAGCAUGCAUCAUGGGAUUCACAUGCAGAUAAGCCCAAAAUUAAUUUACCUUAUCAAAAUUGAUCCAAUGUGCCCUUUUCCAUACCCUAAUCAUACCCUUUUUGCAAAAUAUCCUAUUUUCCAUAAUAAUAAUUUUAUCCAGAAAAAUUGUGAAAAAUCAUCAUUUUUUGAGUAAAAAGUGAUGAUGAUGUGUAAAAAAUGAUAAUUUUUUUUAUAAAUGGUUAUGAUGAUUUAUAAAAAAAAUAUCAAAGACAAAAAAUAUAAUAUAAAUUGAAAAAUAUUUUAAAAGAAAAAAAAUAAGAUUUAAAAAAUGUUAAAAAAUAUAAAUAGGGUUUUUUCUAAUUUAAUUCUUAAUGAAAUUCAUCAUCAGGCGAAAAAAUGUUAUUUUUGUAAUUUUUCUUGUAAAAUUAUGUAAUAUUUUGUAUUUUAUUUCAUAUUAUUAAAUAAAAUAGAAAAAUAUAACGAAAACUCGAUUUUUUAAUUAAAAAUAGACCGAUGGUCUGCAUACGGCAUCGGUUAUGACGUCACAAUGGUAAGGUCGAUUUUCGAGCCGACUGGGGUCGAUUUCGAACCGAUUUAUUGACCGAUUUUGCACCAAAAAAAAGUCUCACGGGGAUAGGGCAUUCAAUGUUAAAUGUCGGCAGACGAAUCGAUCUAUGCGUCGGCAAAUCGUCUGUUGAUAUGCUCGAUUUUGUCGUUCGAUAUCGACUCGACAUCGACAGA